Molecule: RNase P RNA, 381 nt
Filed under: Chloroflexi bacterium GWB2_54_36
Lineage: Bacteria; Bacillati; Chloroflexota
Also listed under: 1 other name
Description: RNase P RNA component class A
Rfam family: Bacterial RNase P class A
About the family: Ribonuclease P (RNase P) is a ubiquitous endoribonuclease, found in archaea, bacteria and eukarya as well as chloroplasts and mitochondria. Its best characterised activity is the generation of mature 5'-ends of tRNAs by cleaving the 5'-leader elements of precursor-tRNAs.
Source: RNAcentral
CAGGUUGGUCGGACGGUCGCGGUCUUGCUUGCAAGAUCGAGGAAAGUCCGCACUCCACAGGGCGCGACGCCGGGGAAACCCCGGGGUGAGGUAACUUGCGGGAUCGGGCCACAGAAACAAACCGCCUGCCGUUCAGGUGGGCAUGGGUGAAAUGGUGGUGUAAAAGACCACCAGCGUCCGCAGUAAUGCGGCGGCUGGGCAACCCCCGUCGGGAGCAAGGCCAAGCAGGGAUGAGGAACUGCCCGUUCCGUUUGAAUCCCGGGUAGGCUGCACGAGCUGCCUGGUAACAGUCAGCCUAGAGAGAUGACCGUCCUUCGCGAGACCGUCCGUUCGCGGAUACCCUUGCGAGGACAAAAUGCGGCUUAUAGACCGGCCUGAGCA